UCUACGGGAGGCAGCAGUGGGGAAUAUUGGGCAAUGGCCGAAAGGCUGACCCAGCAACGCCGCGUGGUGGAUGAAGCCCUUCGGGGUGUAAACACCUUUCUGGGGGAAGAUAAUGA
This 116-nucleotide ribosomal RNA is filed under the name uncultured Sulfurihydrogenibium sp. Its description in RNAcentral is "partial 16S ribosomal RNA". It matches the Rfam family "Bacterial small subunit ribosomal RNA", at positions 338 to 454 of the family's 1533-position model. The record is from RNAcentral. Lineage: Bacteria; Pseudomonadati; Aquificota; Aquificia; Aquificales; Hydrogenothermaceae.